GACAAAUUUGAACACUAAUCAAGCCGACAGGGCGGAACCACUGCACCACCACCUUUUGAGAUCUGAGGGGUGCAGAUCAAGUCAAGCACUACCUUCUAGUGAGCGUUUGCCGCUGUGAUAUAAGAGGCAUCUGCGCAUGCCUCUACUCUCAGGAAAGACCGCGUGAGCCAAUCAGAAUCCUUCUCCGAGAGCUCUCGUGGUGCUGAGGCAGGAGUCUUUCCCUGUCAUUCCUGGCCAGAGAAUAGCGGGGUGGCUUGUGAGACCACUCUGCCUGUGGAUGGCAGGAAGCCAGGGGGACCGAGGAGGCAGAAAAGGAAGAGGAUGAUGAGGAAGAAAAAAAUUUAAAAGCAGGAGGGAGAGAGAGAACGAACGGGAGCCAGAAGAGAGCGAAAGAACAGGAAGAGGAAACAGAGAAGAGGAGGACCCGUGAGCAACCAGGAGAGCUGCCGUGAGCGAGUAGAUGAACUAUCCCCCUGUCCUGUGAGCUGGAUUUUUUCACAGGAGCUGGGGCAGGGCGAGGGUAGGGGACAUAGGGUGUAGGUCCCCACCGGGUUCUAGCAGCUGGCCAGGCACCGCCACCACCUUGUAAAUGGGAGCAGUGUUGGAAGCAAAUGUGUGCUUCUGUGCGGGUGGGGGUGUGGUGGGGUGCCCCUCCCUUCCCCCACCCUGUCCCAACCUUCCCAGCACCUGUCAGGAAACACUGACCCCAUUGCGGGGCUCAGCUUUACACGGACUCUGUCUAACACCUUGUAAAAAAGGGCACCGGUGCAGAAGAUUAAAGGGCACCAUUAAGUAA
Mastomys coucha (southern multimammate mouse) is the source of this 796-nucleotide long non-coding RNA. RefSeq lists it as uncharacterized. NCBI's taxonomy places the organism in Eukaryota, Metazoa, Chordata, Mammalia, Rodentia, Muridae. The transcript has 2 exons. The record is from RefSeq and is a predicted model, not a curated record.